This 400-nucleotide long non-coding RNA is filed under the name Carica papaya (papaya). RNAcentral's name for it is "long non-coding RNA (CPAP_LNC006596)". The record is from RNAcentral. Lineage: Eukaryota; Viridiplantae; Streptophyta; Magnoliopsida; Brassicales; Caricaceae.
AGCCACCAUUAUCAGACUCCCAAAGCUUCCCCCUCACAUUGGUUUCAUUUUUUCCUUUCUCGCUUUCCACCUUAAACCCGAAUAAUCCUUCCGUUCUUCAUUAACCGAAACCCACAACAGCAAAUCAAGAAAAGCCGCCUCGAACAUAAAUCUCGCGAUUGAUUACCGGAGGAGUUGCCAUUUUUGUGGAGAGCAGUGAUUGAACACCGCAAUGUAGGUUGAAGAAGAAUAGCAGGUGAGGCAAGAUUUGGGAGAGAAGAGAGAGUGUUUUUUUUUUUUACAGGAAAAAUGGUGCUUUUGGGUUUUUGUAAAUUUUUGUGUAGACUUUGUGUGGUGGGUUCUUUUAAUCUUCUUCUAUUUUAAUGGAGCUUUAUAGAUAUAUACAUAUAUAUGUAUACUG